AUUUUAAAGUGGAGCAAAUCCUUUAUUUUGAAAAAAAAUCGAUGAAAAAGCCUAAUUUACGCAGAUAUUUUUCCAGUAUUUCUUCAUAGUUCCACUCAGAAUAAAACGGAGGAGAAUUAAUUUAACUUCUUGUAUAAAAAUGUAUAUUCCACGGGACGCUUUUGAGCUCAAGCCUCAAGGAAUUGGAUGAUGAUGUCAUGAAUAUUCAAGGUGUAAAAAAGGUCUUUCAUGGAUUUACGCAGAGAGGGUCGCUGUAUGAUCACUCCAAUUCAGAAUCAUAAGAAGAAGCUACUGAUUAAAGAUCAUCGCGAGGUAUUCGUUAUGUACGUUUCAAUCUCUUGCUACAAUGUUUCACCUUUCUUUCUUCCCUUUUUUUGUAGAAACACAUCCCAAAACGCGACCCUCGACACGACGUGAAAUAAUCUCCAGCGAUAAUGCAGCGGAUAUUAUGUUCUAUCAAACUUCAUUCUAAUUCUUGAUCGCAAAGAAUCAGCAUUACUUCUUCUGCAUUGGCGCCAUAUGUGCCAGACUCGAUGAAUAUACGACAUAAUGAUUGAUUAGAACUCGUGCCGUUUGAAGUACAUGUCUAUUGUGAUGAAAAUGAAGACGCAAUGACUUUUUAUCCCCGUUGUAAGCUUAUCAAGUGGAAUACAAUCGAUUCUGAACACUUUGUUCCCACGAUUAAGGGAUUCGUUAUUUUCACCACAGGGAAGUUCCGUCGUCUAAAAUUCACUGGUGACCCGGCUGUGAGGCCGCUACGUUGGAAUGAUAAACGGUUUUCGGAUAAUUUUCAGUUCUGACCAUUGUGCAUUACUUCAGUACAAAGUGUUACAUAAAUUAAAUUCCAUCUUUGGCUUCUCUAUUGAAGAUUAUAACAACGUUAAAUAUGAACUAAUUAAACCGAUCACAUGCGCCAGAAACCUGGACCCUGUUUGAUGCAUGUAUCAGAGCAUGUAUCUUCUUCAGAACUUCUUCACUUCAGCAAAUUCCGUCAGAGAUU
Molecule: long non-coding RNA, 1000 nt
Organism: Dendronephthya gigantea
Lineage: Eukaryota; Metazoa; Cnidaria; Anthozoa; Malacalcyonacea; Nephtheidae
Exons: 3
Source: RefSeq, a predicted model, not a curated record